GACGAACGCUGGCGGCGUGCUUAACACAUGCAAGUCGAACGGUGAAGCGCUUUCCUUUUUGGUUGGUGUGGAUGAGUGGCGAACGGGUGAGUAACACGUGAGUAACCUGCCCCCUUCUUCUGGAUAACCGCAUGAAAGUGUGGCUAAUACGGGAUAUUCUGCGCCUGCUGCAUGGUGGGUGUGGGAAAGAUUGUGCCUUUGGGUGUUUUCGGUGGGGGAUGGGCUCGCGGCCUAUCAGCUUGUUGGUGGGGUGAUGGCCUACCAAGGCGGUGACGGGUAGCCGGCCUGAGAGGGUGGACGGUCACACUGGGACUGAGACACGGCCCAGACUCCUACGGGAGGCAGCAGUGGGGAAUAUUGCACAAUGGGCGCAAGCCUGAUGCAGCGACGCCGCGUGAGGGAUGGAGGCCUUCGGGGUGUGAACCUCUUUCGCCAGUGAGGCAGGCCUGCUCCUUGUGGGUGGGUUGACGGUAGCUGGAUAAGAAGCGCCGGCUAACUACGUG
Molecule: ribosomal RNA, 503 nt
Filed under: uncultured bacterium
Lineage: Bacteria
Description: partial 16S ribosomal RNA
Rfam family: Bacterial small subunit ribosomal RNA
Source: RNAcentral